GAUGAACGCUGGCGGCGUGCCUAAUACAUGCAAGUCGAGCGAACAGACGAGGAGCUUGCUCCUCUGACGUUAGCGGCGGACGGGUGAGUAACACGUGGAUAACCUACCUAUAAGACUGGGAUAACUUCGGGAAACCGGAGAUAAUACCGGAUAAUAUAUUGAACCGCAUGGUUCAAUAGUGAAAGACGGUUUUGCUGUCACGUAUAGAUGGAUCCGCGCCGCAUUAGCUAGUUGGUAAGGUAACGGCUUACCAAGGCAACGAUGCGUAGCCGACCUGAGAGGGUGAUCGGCCACACUGGAACUGAGACACGGUCCAGACUCCUACGGGAGGCAGCAGUAGGGAAUCUUCCGCAAUGGGCGAAAGCCUGACGGAGCAACGCCGCGUGAGUGAUGAAGGUCUUCGGAUCGUAAAACUCUGUUAUUAGGGAAGAACAAAUGUGUAAGUAACUAUGCACGUCUUGACGGUACCUAAUCAGAAAGCCACGGCUAACUACGUG
Molecule: ribosomal RNA, 497 nt
Filed under: uncultured bacterium
Lineage: Bacteria
Description: partial 16S ribosomal RNA
Rfam family: Bacterial small subunit ribosomal RNA
Source: RNAcentral